CUGGUUGUGUGUACUGACAUGUGACCUACUGGUUGUGUGUGUGUACUGACAUGUGACCUACUGGUUGUGUGUACUGACAUGUUUGUAACUGGUAGAUGCACACAAACUACAUGUUCAUGUUAUUCAAUGUAUGUAAAUUGUAAAGUAUUUUGUCCGUAAUGUCUUUCACGUUAUGGAACCCAGUAAGACUAGCUCUGUGAGGGUAGUCUAUAUACAGUAGGUCUGUGAGGGUAGUCUAUAUACAGUAGCUCUGUGAGGGUAGUCUAUAUACAGUAGCUCUGUGAGGGUAGUCUAUAUACAGUAGGUCUGUGAUGGUAGUCUAUAUACAGUAGGUCUGUGAGGGUAGUCUAUAUACACUAGCUCUGUGAGGGUUGUCUAUAUACACUAGCUCUGUGAGGGUAGUCUAUAUACAGUAGGUCUGUGAGGGUAGUCUAUAUACAGUAGGUCUGUGAGGGUAGUCUAUAUACACUAGCUCUGUGAGGGUUGUCUAUAUACACUAGCUCUGUGAGGGUAGUCUAUAUACAGUAGGUCUGUGAGGGUAGUCUAUAUACAGUAGCUCUGUGAGGGUAGUCUAUAUACAGUAGGUCUGUGAUGGUAGUCUAUAUACAGUAGCUCUGUGAGGGUUGUCUAUAUACACUAGCUCUGUGAGGGUAGUCUAUAUACAGUAGGUCUGUGAGGGUAGUCUAUAUACAGUAGGUCUGUGAGGGUAGUCUAUAUACAGUAGCUCUGUGAGGGUAGUCUAUAUACAGUAGGUCUGUGAGGGUAGUCUAUAUACAGUAGCUCUGUGAGGGUAGUCUAUAUACAGUAGGUCUGUGAGGGUAGUCUAUAUACAGUAGGUCUGUGAGGGUAGUCUAUAUACAGUAGGUCUGUGAGGGUAGUCUAUAUACACUAGCUCUGUGAGGGGU
Long non-coding RNA from Oncorhynchus tshawytscha (Chinook salmon), 905 nucleotides. The record is from Ensembl. Lineage: Eukaryota; Metazoa; Chordata; Actinopteri; Salmoniformes; Salmonidae.